UACAGAGGGUGCGAGCGUUAAUCGGAAUUACUGGGCGUAAAGCGUGCGCAGGCGGUUCGUUAAGUUCGUUGUGAAAGCCCCGGGCUCAACCUGGGAACUGCAAUGGAAACUGGCGGGCUUGAGUGUGGCAGAGGGGGGUGGAAUUCCGCGUGUAGCAGUGAAAUGCGUAGAGAUGCGGAGGAACACCGAUGGCGAAGGCAGCCCCCUGGGCCAACACUGACGCUCAGGCACGAAAGCGUGGGGAGCAAACAGG
This 253-nucleotide ribosomal RNA is filed under the name uncultured bacterium. Its description in RNAcentral is "partial 16S ribosomal RNA". It matches the Rfam family "Bacterial small subunit ribosomal RNA", at positions 524 to 776 of the family's 1533-position model. The record is from RNAcentral.